UGUCGUGAGAUGUUGGGUUAAGUCCCGCAACGAGCGCAACCCCUGCUGCUAGUUGCCAUCGGUUCGGCCGGGCACUCUAGUGGGACUGCCGGUGAUAAACCGGAGGAAGGUGGGGAUGACGUCAAGUCCUCAUGGCCUCUAUGUCCAGGGCUACACACGUGCUACAAUGGCCGGUACAAACCGUUGCGAGAACGCAAGUUGGAGCAAAUCGGAUAAAGCCGGUCUCAGUUCGGAUUGGGGUCUGCAACUCGACCCCAUGAAGCUGGAAUCGCUAGUAAUCGCGGAUCAGCACGCCGCGGUGAAUACGUUCCCGGGCCU
This 318-nucleotide ribosomal RNA is filed under the name uncultured bacterium. RNAcentral's name for it is "bacterial SSU rRNA". It matches the Rfam family "Bacterial small subunit ribosomal RNA", at positions 1063 to 1381 of the family's 1533-position model. The record is from RNAcentral.